This 382-nucleotide long non-coding RNA is filed under the name Gossypium raimondii (Peruvian cotton). RNAcentral's name for it is "long non-coding RNA (GRAI_LNC003450)". Lineage: Eukaryota; Viridiplantae; Streptophyta; Magnoliopsida; Malvales; Malvaceae. The record is from RNAcentral.
CAAGAUAAACACAGAAUUCAACAUACCCCAAAAGCUGAUAAAAAAGCCCAACAAUUUAAAACAACACAAGAUCAAAAAGAGAGAGUAGAAAUUGGUCAAGAAAAUGAAAUAUUUUUACCUUCCUUGUUUGAUGAUGCAAAAAAGGGAAAACACACUCCCAUAAUCAAUCAAACAAAACCCAGACUUUCACAAAGUUCUUAGAAAAUUACUUCAAACCAUCUUCACUUUCACACUUCAACACACACAAAACAAAAACCAUCUCUGAAUUUCCUCUUAGCACCCAAUAUUUACCAACUCUUUUUAAUUCUCUCUCUAUGAUCUAAACUGCCCAUUUAAGACAAGGAUUGAAACCCAAAGUGGCUGAUCAACAAAUGGAAGAAAC